RNAcentral lists this ribosomal RNA (245 nucleotides) under uncultured Rhodopila sp. RNAcentral describes it as "partial 16S ribosomal RNA". It matches the Rfam family "Bacterial small subunit ribosomal RNA", at positions 524 to 768 of the family's 1533-position model. The record is from RNAcentral. Lineage: Bacteria; Pseudomonadati; Pseudomonadota; Alphaproteobacteria; Acetobacterales; Acetobacteraceae.
UACGAAGGGGGCUAGCGUUGCUCGGAUUGACUGGGCGUAAAGGGCGCGUAGGCGGUUUGUACAGUCAGACGUGAAAUUCCUGGGCUCAACCUGGGGGCUGCGUUUGAUACGUGCAGACUUGAGUUCGGAAGAGGGUCGUGGAAUUCCCAGUGUAGAGGUGAAAUUCGUAGAUAUUGGGAAGAACACCGGUGGCGAAGGCGGCGACCUGGUCCGAUACUGACGCUGAGGCGCGAAAGCGUGGGGAG